GCGGUUUUGGAUGGGCGUGCGCCUGAUUAGGUAGUUGGUAGGGUAACGGCCUACCAAGCCUUCGAUCAGUAACUGGUGUGAGAGCACGACCAGUCACACGGGCACUGAGACACGGGCCCG
RNAcentral lists this ribosomal RNA (120 nucleotides) under uncultured bacterium. RNAcentral describes it as "partial 16S ribosomal RNA". It matches the Rfam family "Bacterial small subunit ribosomal RNA", at positions 215 to 334 of the family's 1533-position model. The record is from RNAcentral.